RNAcentral lists this long non-coding RNA (806 nucleotides) under Helianthus annuus (common sunflower). Lineage: Eukaryota; Viridiplantae; Streptophyta; Magnoliopsida; Asterales; Asteraceae. The record is from RNAcentral.
AUGAUAACGAUAUAUUUAUAUUUUUAUAUAAAUAUUUAUUUAUUUAUUUAUUUUAAGAAUAUUGUAGAAUGCACGCUAGCAAGUCAAGUCUUGGAAACGACAUCGCAAAGUCGUAUAUAGCUAGCCUUGCAUAGGAAUAUUCAGGCGAGUUCAUAACCCCCACUUUUUACUACUGUUUUACAUUCUUUUUGUAAAUGUUUUCGGGGUGGAAAGACAUGCACAAUUUUCAGAAACAUACAAAGUUUUGAACAAACGCAAAACUCGUAUUUCUAAAUCAUAUCACGAAUGGAUUUCGAGAAACUCAAACGAUUUACGAAAGGUUUAUACUAAACAUACCGGUUUUUACAAAACAAAUGCUUAUUUUCGAAAUACGAAUGAUUUUUCAUAACUAAGGAGUCAGUCAGGGUGGCUGGGAAGGUUCAGUCAGGGUGGCUGGGAAAGUUCAGUCAGGGUGGCUGGGAAAGCUCAGUCAGGGUGGCUGGGGAGGCUCAGCCAGGGUGGCUGAGGUGGAAUAUAUGUUACAGUAAUUACGAAAAAUUUUUACAUGGUAUGGUUAACGUAAGGAGGUGUUAUACGAUCAUGUGAGUGGAUAGGAACAACAUGGGGCCAUUAGUCCUCAUGGAGGGACCGAGGGACAGGAGCGGUAGAUCUAUCUGGGUGUAGCGAGCCCAGCCCCCGGCCAAACUAGAAACGGACCGUGGGGUGACUUUGUCCACAUACUUUGCCGUGGCGAAAUCUGCUAGGUUGCAUUUCUAAAACAAGGCACGGUUGGAAUAGGAGGACCAUGAAGAGUCGAGUACUUAGUG